RNAcentral lists this ribosomal RNA (497 nucleotides) under uncultured bacterium. RNAcentral's name for it is "partial 16S ribosomal RNA". It matches the Rfam family "Bacterial small subunit ribosomal RNA", at positions 28 to 507 of the family's 1533-position model. The record is from RNAcentral.
GAUGAACGCUGGCGGCGUGCCUAAUACAUGCAAGUCGAGCGAACGGACGAGAAGCUUGCUUCUCUGAUGUUAGCGGCGGACGGGUGAGUAACACGUGGAUAACCUACCUAUAAGACUGGGAUAACUUCGGGAAACCGGAGCUAAUACCGGAUAAUAUUUUGAACCGCAUGGUUCAAAAGUGAAAGACGGUCUUGCUGUCACUUAUAGAUGGAUCCGCGCUGCAUUAGCUAGUUGGUAAGGUAACGGCUUACCAAGGCAACGAUGCAUAGCCGACCUGAGAGGGUGAUCGGCCACACUGGAACUGAGACACGGUCCAGACUCCUACGGGAGGCAGCAGUAGGGAAUCUGACGCAAUGGGCGAAAGCCUGACGGAGCAACGCCGCGUGAGUGAUGAAGGUCUUCGGAUCGUAAAACUCUGUUAUUAGGGAAGAACAGAUGUGUAAGUAACUGUGCACAUCUUGACGGUACCUAAUCAGAAAGCAACGGCUAACUACGUG